This 346-nucleotide unclassified non-coding RNA is filed under the name soil metagenome. RNAcentral's name for it is "partial contains 5.8S ribosomal RNA, internal transcribed spacer 2, and large subunit ribosomal RNA". The stretch from base 1 to 121 matches the Rfam family "5.8S ribosomal RNA", at positions 35 to 154 of the family's 154-position model. The record is from RNAcentral.
GAUGAAGAACGUAGCGAAAUGCGAUAAGUAAUGCGAAUUGCAGAAUUUCCGUGAGUCAUCGAAUCUUUGAACGCACAUUGCGCCCACUGGUAUUCCGGUGGGCAUGCCUGUUCGAGAGUCAUUAUCCUCCCUCAAACCCCGGGUUUGGUGUUGGACCGAAGUUGUGUGAACAACUGGUCUAAAAAACAAUGACGGCGUCCGUGGGACCCUCGGUGCAACGAGCUUUUAGGAGCACGCGCCGAGUUGCAAGGACCUUCCGGGCCGGUCUCCUUUUACUAUUUUACAAGGUUGACCUCGGAUCAGGUAGGAAUACCCGCUGAACUUAAGCAUAUCAAUAAGCGGAGGA